GGGGGGACCACUAAAAAGUUCUAUUUCUUGUAGUCACCAGGACACUAGGAAGAGCCUCUAAGCUGCUAGCCUUGUUCGGAGGAGGAGGAGGAGGAACCACCCUUAAGCUAUGAUAAGAGGAAGACGUGCAAGAGACGAUAACAGCUUUUGAGACAUAUUACUUACGUUUCCUUGAUGUGCUUCAGAUGUACAGAUGAAGAGCUGAUGCUUGGUGAGCAAUCAAGAGCAAUUGUCGUGUGCAGUGCCACCUGCUCAGUUUCAUUCACUUCUUCCUGCCCAAUCAAGCAAGAAGGGGGGAAACAGAGGCAGCUGAUGGUUAGUAGACAAGAACCGUUCCUUGAAAACCCCAGGACCUAUCCUGACCUUGUCUGAAGAAACCUAGAAGAAGGUUUUUCUUAGCCUUUACGUAUUCCAUACCAAGAGGGCCUA
This 429-nucleotide long non-coding RNA is filed under the name Laticauda laticaudata (blue-ringed sea krait). Its description in RNAcentral is "lncRNA (ENSLLTG00000006350.1)". The record is from RNAcentral. Lineage: Eukaryota; Metazoa; Chordata; Lepidosauria; Squamata; Elapidae.